This 282-nucleotide long non-coding RNA is filed under the name Medicago truncatula (barrel medic). RNAcentral's name for it is "lncRNA gene2857". The record is from RNAcentral. Lineage: Eukaryota; Viridiplantae; Streptophyta; Magnoliopsida; Fabales; Fabaceae.
AUGUCGUGUGAGCUUUCCUUCUCGUGUGUCCUAGGUGCUCUGAUACGUAACGGGAUGGGAACUUUGUUAUUGCUUUUCUAUUCCUUACGUAUUGUUUUUGAAGAUUUAUGACUAUGUUUUUAGAUUGGAUUUUUAUGCGACAUUUAUGAAGAGGCCUUCGUGCCAAAGACUGUUUUAGUUAUUGAAAUAAAUUCCGCUGCGAAGUAUUAAAGAUCUUGUAUUUGAAUUUUAAAGGAUAAAUAGUUAUUUAUUCAGUUUAUGAUUUUAAGAAAAGAAUGUGAC